Molecule: ribosomal RNA, 491 nt
Filed under: uncultured bacterium
Lineage: Bacteria
Description: partial 16S ribosomal RNA
Rfam family: Bacterial small subunit ribosomal RNA
Source: RNAcentral
CGCUGGCGGCGUGCCUAAUACAUGCACGUCGAGCGAACGGACGAGAAGCUUGCUUCUCUGAUGUUAGCGGCGGGCGGGUGAGUAACACGUGGAUAACCUACCUAUAAGACUGGGAUAACUUCGGGAAACCGGAGCUAAUACCGGAUAAUAUUUUGAACCGCAUGGUUCAAAAGUGAAAGACGGUCUUGCUGUCACUUAUAGAUGGAGCCGCGCUGCAUUAGCUAGUUGGUAAGGUAACGGCUUACCAAGGCAACGAUGCAUAGCCGACCUGAGAGGGUGAUCGGCCACACUGGAACUGAGACACGGUCCAGACUCCUACGGGAGGCAGCAGUAGGGAAUCUUCCGCAAUGGGCGAAAGCCUGACGGAGCAACGCCGCGUGAGUGAUGAAGGUCUUCGGAUCGUAAAACUCUGUUAUUAGUGAAGAACAUAUGUGUAAGUAACUGUGCACAUCUUGACGGUACCUAAUCAGAAAGCCACGGCUAACUACGUG